GGCUCCACAGUGUUGUGGUUAGCACGUCUGCUUUACAUGCAGAAGGUCCUAGGUUCGUGCCCCAGUGGAGCCA
RNAcentral lists this transfer RNA (73 nucleotides) under Pteropus alecto (black flying fox). It matches the Rfam family "tRNA". From Rfam's summary of the family: Transfer RNA (tRNA) molecules are approximately 80 nucleotides in length. Their secondary structure includes four short double-helical elements and three loops (D, anti-codon, and T loops). Further hydrogen bonds mediate the characteristic L-shaped molecular structure. tRNAs have two regions of fundamental functional importance: the anti-codon, which is responsible for specific mRNA codon recognition, and the 3' end, to which the tRNAs corresponding amino acid is attached (by aminoacyl-tRNA synthetases). tRNAs cope with the degeneracy of the genetic code in two manners: having more than one tRNA (with a specific anti-codon) for a particular amino acid; and 'wobble' base-pairing, i.e. permitting non-standard base-pairing at the 3rd anti-codon position. The record is from Rfam by way of RNAcentral. Lineage: Eukaryota; Metazoa; Chordata; Mammalia; Chiroptera; Pteropodidae.